CUUCUCCCUCUUUCUCUGUAUAUACUGAUAGUUGUCGGCGGCGGCGACUCGCGAUGUCGGAAACGAAGGUGUUCGAUGCGGCGGCGGCGACGGAGUUGGUGAAGGAACUGAGAGGUAGUUUUGGCUCCGGCAACACUCGGAGCUACGAGUGGAGAGUGGCGCAGCUUGAGAGUCUCUUGAAGCUCAGCGUUGACCAUGAGGAAGAUAUUUGCGAUGCGCUUCGCUCUGACCUCUCCAAGCCUGCGUUGGAAUCCGUUAUUCAUGAG
This 266-nucleotide unclassified non-coding RNA is filed under the name Hevea brasiliensis (rubber tree). The record is from RNAcentral. Lineage: Eukaryota; Viridiplantae; Streptophyta; Magnoliopsida; Malpighiales; Euphorbiaceae.